GAUGAACGCUGGCGGCAUGCCUAACACAUGCAAGUCGAUCGGAUGAGCUCUUCGUACUCCACGAGAGGCCGACGGCUGAGUAACGCGUACGAACACACCUUGCUGUGAGUGAUAAGACACGGAAAGGAGUUCUAGUACCUCAUACGGACUUCGGAUUAGAGCAGUUAUGGGCUGAAGGAGUUGCGGGCGUCAUAAUACAUAGUUGUUGAGGUAAUGGCUCACCAAGUGGAUGAUGUGUAGCUGGUCUGAGAGGAUGGGCAGACAGUCUGGAACUGAGACACGGUGCAGACUAUUAGGGGAGGGAGCAGUGAGGAAUAUAUCACUACGGGCGAAGGCUUGAUGGAGCAAUGACGCGUGAAGGAUGAAGGCCCUCAGGUUGUAAACUGAUUUUAUAAGAGGAUAUUAUGACGGUAACUUCUGAAUAAGGGACGGCUAACUACGUG
RNAcentral lists this ribosomal RNA (443 nucleotides) under uncultured bacterium. Its description in RNAcentral is "partial 16S ribosomal RNA". It matches the Rfam family "Bacterial small subunit ribosomal RNA", at positions 28 to 507 of the family's 1533-position model. The record is from RNAcentral.